CUCCCCACCCCCCCAGGCCCCUGAGGCCGCCCGCACAUGCGCAGUGCUGUGCGCCGACCCUGGGGCGAAGCCAAGGCCACCGAGGGGCCGAGUAAGCGGCCCAGGGUGUCAGCCAGGCGGCUCUAGAUCGGCCCGUGGCCGCUCGGGCCCGCACACCUUUCCCUACACCCGUCCCGGCUCCGCACUCACUUGUAGCCCACGUCACACCAGUUCAGCGUCCUCGAAUGGGCUGCAACAGGAUGCGGUGGGGGCUCGGGUCUCAUCUCUCUUCCUCCCGGAGGGACUGAGGUACAAAAGCCAUGCAUCAGAGCAUCAUCCUUGACCAAACUGUACCGUGUCCCCUCUUGUGUUGAGUACCCCAGCCCAUAGCAGGCGCCGAAUAUAUACUGAAUGACUGGUAAGUAUCCAGCUCACUCCCUGGUCAUGUUGCUGUUAUCGCCCAAAUAUCUUACGAAUCAGACCACCCUGGUUUAUUUCCACUCUCCCCACCUGGGUCCAGUCACCGUCUCCUUGCACCUGGAUUUUCUCCCACCCCCUCAGUGACUUUCCAGCAUGCACCUUGGCCCCCAUGAGGCCGAGGCUCAGCUCUGAUCAAGCGACCCUCAAACGUGAGUCACCGUUUUCUGUGGCUUCUCACGACUCUUAGGAUGGAUCCCAAGCACUUCGCCACGGCCUGCCUUCAACCUAGUCUCACCCGACUCACUCCUGAGGCCCUCUUCCCCUAGCUUCCCUGCCCUUCUUGCCGCCCUUGAGGAUGCUUUGACUACCCUGUCCCCAGGGGACUUUCUCCGCACUGUGUGCAAGGUUUGUUUAUUUAUUUAU
Long non-coding RNA from Leopardus geoffroyi (Geoffroy's cat), 822 nucleotides. RefSeq lists it as uncharacterized. The transcript has 3 exons. Lineage: Eukaryota; Metazoa; Chordata; Mammalia; Carnivora; Felidae. The record is from RefSeq and is a predicted model, not a curated record.